This 866-nucleotide small RNA is filed under the name Arabidopsis thaliana (thale cress). RNAcentral's name for it is "ATSL033250". Lineage: Eukaryota; Viridiplantae; Streptophyta; Magnoliopsida; Brassicales; Brassicaceae. The record is from RNAcentral.
UACAUUUUUGCAACUUUCAUAGCCGCAAUGUUUCUCCUGCGACUUUGUAUUUUCACUUUCAAGUAUUUGAUAUUCAGUUUUCGUUUAAGUCUUUCGUCAUUUCUGUUAUCAUGUUUUCAAUCGUUGCUUUGCUAUUGUCUUUGAUUAUGUCUGAGUAGUGAACCGUAUUUCUGAAGAUGGGAUAGAUUAGUUGUGGUUUACUUGGUCGUUUUAGGUGGUUGAGUUUAGAAUACUAGAAUCCCUUCUGGAUUAGUUGCGCUUAUUGCUUGUUUCACUGGCUAAUGUGGAAUAUGAGUCCAGACGUCCAGCGCUCCCAAGGCGUUUAAUGGGCGUUGGAUCCUAUUAAUUCCAGAGAUAUCUGCCUCUACCCCAAGGGAUUGGCUGUAGAGAGGGUAUUGGCUUUAACAAGUUGAUUCGAUAAUGCCUGCUUAGUUAGAGAUCGCUAAUGGGAAUUAGGUCAGUGUCUAGCUUUGCUUGAGGAUUUCUAUCACGAGAGUGAAUUAAUCUGUUGUUGAACUUGUUGUCUAUGGAUAGCUUCUGUGAAGUUUCGUUAACCGCCUAAAUAGAUUAAGGAGACCACACUAUUCGAUUACCCCAUCCUUAGGAAUCGUUUAUCCAUUUGACUGCAUGUUAUCAUUUCUGCUUUGUUAUUCACCUGCCUGUUAUUGCCAUUUCUGCUUUUAGUUUCAUUUCAUGUCUGUUUUUUGCAUACUAGGACUGUUAAACCCAACCAACUCUCUGCUUGGCUUGACUUAGAGCUUUCUAAUCAUAUCUCAUUUGUUUCCGUCACACCGGAUUUGAUUGACAACCUAAAAUACUACAACGACAGGAUAGUGUUUUAGGACUAAUUGAGUAAAAAUUCUACU